Molecule: transfer RNA, 74 nt
Filed under: Acidobacteriota bacterium
Lineage: Bacteria; Pseudomonadati; Acidobacteriota
Description: Acidobacteria bacterium tRNA-Ser
Rfam family: tRNA
About the family: Transfer RNA (tRNA) molecules are approximately 80 nucleotides in length. Their secondary structure includes four short double-helical elements and three loops (D, anti-codon, and T loops). Further hydrogen bonds mediate the characteristic L-shaped molecular structure. tRNAs have two regions of fundamental functional importance: the anti-codon, which is responsible for specific mRNA codon recognition, and the 3' end, to which the tRNAs corresponding amino acid is attached (by aminoacyl-tRNA synthetases). tRNAs cope with the degeneracy of the genetic code in two manners: having more than one tRNA (with a specific anti-codon) for a particular amino acid; and 'wobble' base-pairing, i.e. permitting non-standard base-pairing at the 3rd anti-codon position.
Source: RNAcentral
AGCGUGGUCGCCAACUGGUAAGGCAAAGGUCUCGAAAACCUUGAUCCGUGGUUCCAUUCCGUCCCGCGCCUCCA